AUUAAAGGCACUGCCUGCCCAGUGAUAUUAUUUUUAACGGCCGCGGUAUUCUAACCGUGCAAAGGUAGCAUAAUCACUUGUCUUUUAAAUAAAGACUAGUAUGAACGGCAAGACGAAAGCUUAACUGUCUCCUUUAUUUUAUCAAUGAAACUGAAUUUCCUGUACAAAAGCAGGAAUAAAUUAAUAAGACGAGAAGACCCUAUGGAACUUAAAACACGCAGUCACUUUAAGUUAUAUUAAAACCUGAACAUACUGUUUUUGGUUGGGGUGACCACGGAGAAUAAAAAUCCUCCGAGAUAACAAUUUUAGUAAUACAAAACAAAAAUUCAAAAUUUUGACACCAGACCCAAAAUAUUUGAUCAACGAACCAAGCUACCCUAGGGAUAACAGCGCAAUCUUCUCCAAGAGCACCUAUCGCCAAGAAGGUUUACGACCUCGAUGUUGGAUCAGGAUAUCCAGACAGUGUAGCCGCUGCCAAAGGUUUGUUUGUUCAACAAUUAAAAUCCUACGUGAUCUGAGUUCAA
RNAcentral lists this ribosomal RNA (524 nucleotides) under Dermophis mexicanus (Mexican burrowing caecilian). RNAcentral's name for it is "partial 16S ribosomal RNA". It matches the Rfam family "Bacterial large subunit ribosomal RNA", at positions 1845 to 2614 of the family's 2925-position model. The record is from RNAcentral. Lineage: Eukaryota; Metazoa; Chordata; Amphibia; Gymnophiona; Dermophiidae.